This is a long non-coding RNA of Lolium rigidum, 1000 nucleotides long. RefSeq lists it as uncharacterized. The record is from RefSeq and is a predicted model, not a curated record. NCBI's taxonomy places the organism in Eukaryota, Viridiplantae, Streptophyta, Magnoliopsida, Poales, Poaceae. The transcript is spliced from 3 exons.
UAGGUCAGGUUUGUGUGUACACAAUUCUAUAUCAUUAUAUAUACAUCUUUUUUUUUCUCUGUGCUUCACAAUUUACACACGAAAAUCUAACAUGAUCUGUCCUCAUGUGAUGGAGGUAGAUUAAAUGCUGAUAACCGAAAUCCUGUUAUUUACGACUUUCAAUGUAUGUACAAGCAUAUUGCAUAUUUGUCCUUUUUAAUCUUCCUACAUAUUUGGCGUUUUCUGAACUAGCAGGCUAUCUUUACGCGACUUCCAGGAUACCAUGUGGCAAACAACCAAUGGAAGCAUGUUUUCAGGCACUAUGAUUAGGUUUAAGUUUAUUUUGUUUUUACCAAGAAAGAUGGAUGCUUUGGCUGAUAAUCUAUUCUUCUACCUCGAGAUUUAGCUUUUUCAGAUUGUUGGUAGAGGCUUGCGCAUCUGGUCAUUUUCCCACUUCCGCUGAGGCGAAGACUUUCGUUGACAUGUCAUUGUGGAGCUCUACGGUCCAAGGUCACAAAUAAGUUAUCUUCUGUGGAACUCAGGGGAAGUUUGUUGCCUGUAGGAGGAUGGUGUAUCCAUUGGAGAAGGGGCAUCGGCUGAAAAAUAAGAAAUUUUAAUUAUUGAGGGAGUUAAUGUGCAUUCCAAUGGAUAACAACAAGAUCUUUUUGACUGGACCACCUCUUCAAAAAGCCUAGCAGAACUGUGGUCACAACUGGACUUCAUUCUGCCUAAUGCAUUCUCAUCCCAUCAGGAAUUGGAGUCAUCAUAUGAUUUGUUGUGCUAACACAUGCAUCACUGCCACCCUGUACUCUACGGAAUAUAUGUGAAUGCUAUUAUUGUUCAGGGUCUCCAUAUUCUUAGAGCACUUUUGUUCACCGGUACUGCUUUCUGUCUUGUCGCCUUUUUGCUUUCUAUUGAUUGUAAUUAUAAGCUUCUUGAAUCAUCCAAUGUGACAUUUGUUAGCUCUCACAAAGUUUUGAUCUGUCACUACAUAGAAUUUUAUUGAUUGAUCUCUGUAUGA